UGGAUUAUGACAAGUGCACCUCCUGCGGGGCUUGUGUAAAGGCAUGUCCGCGAGACCUGAUCGAGCUGAUCCCAUUUAGCGACGAAUCGAUGCUCGUGGUUGGCUGCUCCAGCAAGGACCCCGGAAGGGUCGUCCGGAAGG
This 141-nucleotide ribosomal RNA is filed under the name uncultured eukaryote. RNAcentral's name for it is "partial small subunit ribosomal RNA". The record is from RNAcentral.